GUGCUCACUUGGACAGCACAUGCACUAAACUAUGAAGAUGCAGAGAAGAGAAACAUGGCCCCUGAACAAGGAUGACACACAAAAUCAUGAAGUGCUCAGUAUUUAA
This 106-nucleotide small nuclear RNA is filed under the name Microtus ochrogaster (prairie vole). Lineage: Eukaryota; Metazoa; Chordata; Mammalia; Rodentia; Cricetidae. The record is from RNAcentral.